Molecule: non-coding RNA, 450 nt
Organism: Pelobates cultripes (western spadefoot toad)
Lineage: Eukaryota; Metazoa; Chordata; Amphibia; Anura; Pelobatidae
Source: the annotation of a GenBank genome assembly
GUUUUUUUUAAAUAUCUUAAUUGAUAUUGUUGUGUUUGUGUAGUACAAAACUGUUAAUAAAACAGUAUUUUAUUUACUAUGUUUAUAAACAGGACAAAAAAAAAGAAGAUUUUUUAGAAAAUCCUCUUUAACUCUAGUCUCAGAUAGGAGGCAAAGCUACUGCUUGGAUUCAAAGCUUGAAAUGUGUCUUUUAUAAAGAUGUAUGUAAUUAAACAGCAACAGGUAACCCUUUCCAUGCCAGAGUGUCAGGGUGCCUUGCUGUCAGCCCACUCCUUUUUGUUUUAAAAAAGGCAUUGUAGAAAACAUUGUUGUUUUUCAAAGUGGUAAAUGCAAAUGCAGACCUACUGUGUACUAUAUCCUCAUAGGAUUAUUAUUAUUAUUAUGUAUGUGUUAAAUGCACUAGUACUGUAAUGUCUACUGAUUUUAAAAAUCAGACUAAAGAAAUAUGGC